UGGGGAAUAUUGCACAAUGGGCGAAAGCCUGAUGCAGCGACGCCGCGUGGGGGAUGAAGGCCUUCGGGUUGUAAACUCCUUUCGCCAGGGACGAAGCGAAUAUGUGACGGUACCUGGAGAAGAAGCACCGGCUAACUACGUGCCAGCAGCCGCGGUAAUACGUAGGGUGCGAGCGUUGUCCGGAAUUACUGGGCGUAAAGAGCUCGUAGGUGGUUUGUCACGUCGUCUGUGAAAUCCCGGGGCUUAACCUCGGGCGUGCAGGCGAUACGGGCAUAACUUGAGUGCUGUAGGGGAGACUGGAAUUCCUGGUGUAGCGGUGAAAUGCGCAGAUAUCAGGAGGAACACCAAUGGCGAAGGCAGGUCUCUGGGCAGUAACUGACGCUGAGGCACGAAAGCGUGGGGAGCAAACAGG
RNAcentral lists this ribosomal RNA (412 nucleotides) under uncultured prokaryote. RNAcentral's name for it is "bacterial SSU rRNA". It matches the Rfam family "Bacterial small subunit ribosomal RNA", at positions 355 to 776 of the family's 1533-position model. The record is from RNAcentral. RNAcentral also lists the same sequence under 1 other name.